AUAUAAUUUUCAUAGUCAGUUCCUUUUCAUAUUAUAUGACAGUUAAAUCUGUGAUCCUAACUUCAUGUUUACUUUUGUUAAGCACCCACAACUAUGUAUGUAGCUAGCUCUGAUUUGUUAGCACAAACUAUACUGUUUCUUGACAUCCUCUAAUAUGUUGUAUACCUAGCUGAUUGGCAAAGGUUAUAAUAUUCUCUUAAACAAUAGAUGUAUUAGUUGAGUGGUGAAGCCUUAAAUGAUGAAGCUUUUCAGUGUUUCAGUACAUUUAUUCUUGUUGACAGAAUGCACUUAUAAAAAAAAAAAAUUCUUUCUUUAUGGAGUGCUUGUGGAGAGCGAGUAAAGGUUAAUGAUAUCCUCCUUAACUUGAUGGCUAUGUUUGGUACUCAGAUUAGAAUCUGGAAUGGAAUAGCUACUCCUUCCUACUGAGAGUAGCACACAAAUGAAUUAUUAGGAAAUAAAAAACUAUUUAAAACAAAAAUUUCUUUAAAAAAAAACUAAUGUAAAAAAUCAAAAUGUUUCAGAAAAAAAAAAAAAGGUGGGGACCUUUCCUCCAUCCCGUAGCAGCCGCCACGAAAAAAAAAAAAAAAAAAGCAAUGCACCAGCAUGCAAACCUGAGAGGGUGGAUAGCCCUCGGCCAAGGUGGCUUUUGUUAUGAGGUGGAGGCUCUCCCAGCUUGCGCACCUCGUAGGGGAGGUCCCCUCCUUCCCACCCCUCUUGUUUUUUUUUUUCUAUUUGUUGACUUUUAUUUUUGUUUAUUAUUUUUUUUUAUAAGUAAUAGUUUUAUUCAAAGAAAUAGGCAUAAGCUCAAGUACACAGGAUGUAUACAAAGGAAAUGCCUACAACUUCCACAAACUAAAAGAAAACUAACACCAUAAAUCUAAAACAGAUGCAGAAAAUUAUCCACCAUUACGAAAGCUUUAGCCCAAGAACUCAAAGUACUCAAGAAAAAAACCCUAAGAUCUCCCAAAGAACGUUCUCUAUCUUCGAAGCAUUUUCCAUUUCUUUUGAGCCAAAUGCACCACAUAAGACAAGGAUUAAUCAUUUUCCAAACACUCGCUGCCUUCUUAUAGCCCUUCACACCCUUCCACCCUACCAAUAAAUCCACCACUUCCCUGGGCAUUACCCAAUGUAAUCCGGUCCAACUCAAAACCUCGUUCCACAAGAAUCUUGUCACUUUGCAGUGUAGGAAAAGGUGAUUUACAGAUUCUCCAUCCCUUAUGCACAUAACACACCAAUCCACGAUAAACAUACCUCUCCUUCUAAGAUUAUCAGUAGUCAAUACUUUGCCCAAAGUAGCCACCCAGCAGAAAAAAGCAACCUUAGAAGGAACUUUCACUUUCCAAAUACUUUUCCAAGGGAAUACACAACUACUAUGGCUUGACAAAUUUUGUAAUAAGAUUAGUUUAUAAUGUAUAGUUUUAAUUCUUUCAACUUUUUAUUUAUUUCUUUUUUUUUUUAAUGUUUCUAGUUUUUUUUUUUAUUCUUUUUAAUUUUAAUCUUUUCUAUGAUCACAAGAUU
Molecule: long non-coding RNA, 1518 nt
Organism: Juglans microcarpa x Juglans regia
Lineage: Eukaryota; Viridiplantae; Streptophyta; Magnoliopsida; Fagales; Juglandaceae
Exons: 2
Source: RefSeq, a predicted model, not a curated record